CCUACGGGUGGCUGCAGUGGGGAAUAUUGCACAAUGGGCGCAAGCCUGAUGCAGCCAUGCCGCGUGUGUGAAGAAGGCCUUCGGGUUGUAAAGCACUUUCAGCGGGGAGGAAGGCGGUGAGGUUAAUAACCUCAUCGAUUGACGUUACCCGCAGAAGAAGCACCGGCUAACUCCGUGCCAGCAGCCGCGGUAAUACGGAGGGUGCAAGCGUUAAUCGGAAUUACUGGGCGUAAAGCGCACGCAGGCGGUCUGUCAAGUCGGAUGUGAAAUCCCCGGGCUCAACCUGGGAACUGCAUUCGAAACUGGCAGGCUAGAGUCUUGUAGAGGGGGGUAGAAUUCCAGGUGUAGCGGGGAAAUGCGUAGAGAUCUGGAGGAAUACCGGUGGCGAAGGCGGCCCCCUGGACAAAGACUGACGCUCAGGUGCGAAAGCGUGGGGAGCAAACAGGGUUAGAUACCCUGGUAGUC
This 465-nucleotide ribosomal RNA is filed under the name uncultured Klebsiella sp. RNAcentral's name for it is "bacterial SSU rRNA". It matches the Rfam family "Bacterial small subunit ribosomal RNA", at positions 338 to 795 of the family's 1533-position model. The record is from RNAcentral. Lineage: Bacteria; Pseudomonadati; Pseudomonadota; Gammaproteobacteria; Enterobacterales; Enterobacteriaceae.